RNAcentral lists this unclassified non-coding RNA (1645 nucleotides) under Hevea brasiliensis (rubber tree). Lineage: Eukaryota; Viridiplantae; Streptophyta; Magnoliopsida; Malpighiales; Euphorbiaceae. The record is from RNAcentral.
CUGAUUUGUUGCAUCAAUUCACAUAUCUUUAUCUAAAGUAAACAACUAAAUUAUUAACUACUCAGGUAAUCAAAAGAAUUCUAACUAUAUAUGCCUUUCAAGAAGAAAGGUAAACAAAAAUGAAAAAUGAAGAAAACUAAAAAUCAAACCAGAAAGGGUGGAGAAGAUAAACAAGAACCAGAAGAUGAACAAAGUCAGUUCUUUUCUUCUUCUUGUUCUUCAAGGGCUCUUACAGGCAUAAAUCAACAAAGAGAAUUCAAAUCUUUCUUGAUCUUUCUGCACCAAUUUCUCUUCCAACCACAGCCUGCUUUCCAUUCCACUUCUUGUCCUGAACAUGAACACAGCAGAGCCAGAAGCAGGAUUAUAAAACCAAUCAUGCACAUCCCACAUCAGAUCAACAACUAACCCAUCAACAAAAAUUGUCUGGUUGCCUCUAAAAUUCCAUUGCAGCCUCUUUACUCGAAUCACCAUCUUCUUAUCAAUACAUACCGAUAAAACUGGAUACUUUAGGCCUUCAUUUUCUCCACUACAUUUAAUUAAAAUGUCAUGUUGAAUGCCUGUGUCACAGAACUGUGCCUUAGUAGCAUAUAAAGUAUUGCCUGAACAAUGUUCUUGCCUUGAAAUGAGACUUGCUUUGGCUACUGGGGUGCUAGAUUUGAGCUUCUUGGAGAUGGUUUCUUCUCCUAUAUCACCCAGAACAAGGCCUAUUUCUGAAUCAACCAUGACCAGCACAUAGAAUCCAUCAACAGGUGCAGGUCCUGAAUCAUAUUUAGCAGAAGAAAGAUCCCAGAAGACUUCAAUCUUGGAACUAUCGGAAUCGAUCAAUUUGCUGCCUUUCUUCUUCCUGAAGAGCCUUCCACUGGUGUUGAGUUUGAAAGACGUUGAAGAGUCAUUGCCAAAGUUUAUGCUAAGGCCUUGAGAUGCAUGUUUUUUGCACCAAGUGACAGUGACCAAGAGUUGCUUUUGAGAGGAAAGGAUGAUUUUAUAGAAGCAAGAAACUGCAUUUUGAAUUGAUGGGAUUAGACCUGGAGAGAUACAAGCAUUGUUUGAAUAGCUAGAACAUGAAGAAGAAUGAGAUACAUUUAUGGCAUUUUCACUUAAACAAGAAACUAUAUCUCUCAUUGUAGGGGAACAAAAACAAUUCUUGAUGAUGAUAUAUGGAAAACUGCAAUUGGGUUCUUGAAACUGUGGACAAAUAAAGAAAGACAGAAAGAAAAUGAGAGAUCUGAGGAGGAUUUUGGGAGAUGUGUUUUUUUUCCCCUCUUUUGUGCCAAUACUCAAAAAGAAAAUUUGUAAGUUAAAGGCUAGGCCAAGUUAGGUGCUUUAUGAGCUGCCUCUCAAAUUUUCAGAGAGGAAAUUCACAAUUUAUUAUGUAGAGAAUAGAUAACUGUAUUUAAUAAGAACUACUCUCACCUUAAAAUCUGCAUCUCACUCUUAUACAAAAUUAUUAUAUUGAUAGUCUUUAAGAAAGGGGGAAAAAAAAGAAUAAAAGAUUGAGGCAGAAACCUUCAAGGAUUCUUUAUUUAAUCACUUUUGACAGUUCAUCAAAUAGUAUAAAAAAUCCAAAAAAGAAAUAGAGAAAGAAAAGAAAAGUCAUGGAAAAGAUGUUGGACCUGGUCUAAAAACCAGCAAAACUUUGUGACAU